Molecule: small RNA, 273 nt
Filed under: fish gut metagenome
Description: 5' ureB small RNA
Rfam family: 5' ureB small RNA
Source: RNAcentral
CUGUUGUGGUGCGAUAAAGUGGAUAUGAGAAUCCAUGCCACCUGCCGUUAUCAGGCAUCCUUCUCCGGCAAUAAUUUCCGUUGUGGGGCCAAUGAUAAUGGUGACAUUAUCCUGAAUAUCAGGAUUGCCUGCCUUGCCGAUGGCGGCGAUACGGCCAUCCCGAAUGCCAAUGUCUGCUUUUAUAAUGCCAUCAUAAUCCACAACAACAGCAUUGGUAAUGACAGUAUCCAUAACCAUUGUGCCAGAGCGCUGGCUUUGUCCCAUGCCAUCACG